AGUGCAUGCGGCGGAUGCCUUGGCGAUCACAGGCGAAGAAAGACGCGGCAGCCUGCGAAAAGCUGCGGGGAGCUGGCAAACGAGCUUUGAUCCGCAGAUAUCUGAAUGGGGGAACCCACACCGCAAGGUGUAUCCGUAGCUGAAUACAUAGGUUACGGAGGCGAACGAGGAGAACUGAAACAUCUAAGUAUCCUCAGGAAAAGAAAUCAACCGAGAUUCCGGCAGUAGCGGCGAGCGAACCCGGAGGAGCCCAGCUUUUGAUAGUACGAACUUUAGCCGAAAGGUCCUGGAAAGGCCUGCUAUAGUGGGUGAUAGCCCCGUAGGCGAAAGAGUUGGUACGGUACUAAGGAAGCGAGAAGUAGAGCGGGACACGUGGAAUCCUGUUCGAAGACGGGGGGACCAUCCUCCAAGGCUAAAUACUCGUGAUCGACCGAUAGUGAACCAGUACCGUGAGGGAAAGGCGAAAAGAACCCCGGGAGGGGAGUGAAAUAGAACCUGAAACCGCAUGCAUACAAACAGUAGGAGCCUCGUCAGAGGUGACUGCGUACCUUUUGCAUAAUGGGUCAGCGACUUACAUUCUGUGGCGAGCUUAACCGAAUAGGGGAGGCGCAGCGAAAGCGAGUUCGAAAUGAGCGUUCAGUCGCAGGGUGUAGACCCGAAACCAGAUGAGCUAUCCAUGGCCAGGUUGAAGGUGUGGUAACACACACUGGAGGACCGAACCGACUAGUGUUGCAAAAUUAGCGGAUGAGCUGUGGAUAGGGGUGAAAGGCCAAACAAAUCUGGAGAUAGCUGGUUCUCCCCGAAAACUAUUGAGGUAGUGCCUCGUGUGUCGCUCCAGGGGGUAGAGCACUGUUUUGGCUAGGGGGACAUGGAGUCUUACCAAACCAAGGCAAACUCCGAAUACCUGGAAGCGUAAGCACGGGAGACAGAGCACCGGGUGCUAACGUCCGGACUCAAAAGGGAAACAACCCAGACCGCCGGCUAAGGUCCCAAAUAACAGCUAAGUGGAAAACGAAGUGGAAAGGCCGUGACAACCAGGAAGUUGGCUUAGAAGCAGCCAUCCUUCAAAGAAAGCGUAAUAGCUCACUGGUCGAGUCCUUCUGCGCGGAAGAUGUAACGGGGCUAAGCUGUUAACCGAAGCCGCGGAUGCGCUGGUUAUCCAGUGCGUGGUAGGGGAGCGUUCUGUAAGUCUGCGAAGGCGGUUCGAGAGGACUGCUGGAGAUAUCAGAAGUGCGAAUGCUGACAUGAGUAACGUUAAAGCAGGUGAAAAGCCUGCUCGCCGUAAGCCCAAGGAUUCCUGCUCUACGUUCAUCGGAGCAGGGUGAGUCGGCUCCUAAGGUCAGGCCGAAAGGCGUAGCCGAUGGGAAUCAGGUUAAUAUUCCUGAACCUGCGUCAGAUGCGAUGGGGGGACGGAGCAUGGGAGAUCAUCCGGGUGUUGGAAGUCCCGGUUGUUUAGCGUAGGAGGUCUGCAGGCAAAUCCGCAGACGCAUCUCCAAGGCAAAGACACGUGCCGCCACGGCGGCGAAGUGAUCGGAAGUGCUUCCAAGAAAAGCCUCUAAGCCCCAGUCUGACGCGGACCGUACCGCAAACCGACACUGGUGGGCGAGCUGAAUAUGCUCAGGCGCUUGAGAGAACUCGGGAGAAGGAACUCGGCAAAUUGACACCGUAACUUCGGAAGAAGGUGUGCCGUAGUACCGUGAGAGGAGAGACACCUUGAGCGGGAAACGGUCUCAGAGAAUAGGUGGCUGCGACUGUUUAUUAAAAACACAGCACUCUGCAAAGUCGAAAGACGACGUAUAGGGUGUGAUGCCUGCCCGGUGCUGGAAGAUUAAUUGAUGGGGUGAGAGCCCUUGAUCGAAGUCCCAGUAAACGGCGGCCGUAACUAUAACGGUCCUAAGGUAGCGAAAUUCCUUGUCGGGUAAGUUCCGACCUGCACGAAUGGCAUAACGAUGGCCACACUGUCUCCUCCCGAGACUCAGUGAAGUUGAAAUGUUUGUGAUGAUGCAAUCUACCCGCGGCUAGACGGGAAGACCCCAUGAACCUUUACUGCAGCUUUGCAUUGAACUGUGAACCGAUUUGUGUAGGAUAGGUGGGAGGCAGAGAAGAGGCCACGCCAGUGGCCUUGGAGCCGACCUUGAAAUACCACCCUGAUUUGUUUGCGGUUCUAACCACGGACAGUGAUCCUGUCUUGGGACCGUGCAUGGUAGGCAGUUUGACUGGGGCGGUCUCCUCCUAAAGGGUAACGGAGGAGUACGAAGGUACGCUAGGUACGGUCGGAAAUCGUGCUGAUAGUGCAAUGGCAAAAGCGUGCUUGACUGCGAGAGCAACAACUCGAGCAGAUGCGAAAGCAGGUCAUAGUGAUCCGGUGGCUCUGAAUGGAAGGGCCAUCGCUCAACGGAUAAAAGGUACUCUGGGGAUAACAGGCUGAUACCGCCCAAGAGUUCAUAUCGACGGCGGUGUUUGGCACCUCGAUGUCGGCUCAUCUCAUCCUGGGGCUGUAGUCGGUCCCAAGGGUAUGGCUGUUCGCCAUUUAAAGAGGUACGUGAGCUGGGUUUAAAACGUCGUGAGACAGUUUGGUCCCUAUCUGCCGUGGGCGUUGGAAGAUUGACGGGGGCUGCUCCUAGUACGAGAGGACCGGAGUGGACGCACCUCUGGUGUACCGGUUGUCACGCCAGUGGCAUUGCCGGGUAGCUAAGUGCGGAAGAGAUAACCGCUGAAAGCAUCUAAGCGGGAAACUUGCCUGAAGAUGAGUCUUCCCGGAGGUUGAACCUCCCUCAAGAGUCGUCCGAGACCAGGACGUCGAUAGGUCAGGUGUGUAAGCGCUGUAAGGCGUUGAGCUAACUGAUACUAAUUGCUCGUGAGGCUUGAUC
This 2870-nucleotide ribosomal RNA is filed under the name human gut metagenome. Its description in RNAcentral is "bacterial LSU rRNA". It matches the Rfam family "Bacterial large subunit ribosomal RNA". The record is from RNAcentral.